UAACUCUUCCCUCAUGAGCGAAAUCUCGGCCUGGUGUUUCUCCUCCACCGCCUGAAGACAUUGCGCCAGGACUUGAUUCACGGUGGACUGCAUCUCCUCCCGCAAUCCGUCUAGGCCCUCCUCGACCCUUUGUUCGACCCCCUAGAACCUUUGGUCGGCCUCCAUGAACUUGUCCUGCCCAUCGGCAAUAGCCAACUCCACCUUAGCCAGCCUUGUCUCCAACUCCCCCAUGACGUCCCUGGAGCGAGACCUUUGGCCCUUAGAUUUGUUCCCUUCGGUUUGGGUGAGUUCACUGCCGCCUUCCAUGCUCCCUUAGAUGUUCCAACGAACCUGACGCUCUGAUACCAAUUGUGACAAGACUGUAACUCAAACACGACGAUCUGUCUGGCCUAGCGAACUUUCAAUGCCAAAGUUAGCUAGUCAGCCUACCCGGAAGCUUAGUAGAACUUAAGAAAGACUAAGCUUGUAGAAACUUGGCGAAGGCCGCCUUCCAUACUCCCUUAGAUGUUCCAACGAACCUGGCUCUGAUACCAAUUUUGACAAGACCAUAACUCAAACACGACGAUCUGUCCGGCCUAGCAAACUUUCAGUGCCAAAGUUAGCUAGUCAGCCUACCCGGAAGCUUAGUAGAACUUAAGAAAGACUAAGCUUGUAGAAACUUGGCGAAGGAAACUAGUAGUUGGAAGAAAGNNNN
This 694-nucleotide long non-coding RNA is filed under the name Nicotiana benthamiana. RNAcentral's name for it is "long non-coding RNA (NBEN_LNC022232)". Lineage: Eukaryota; Viridiplantae; Streptophyta; Magnoliopsida; Solanales; Solanaceae. The record is from RNAcentral.